UGGGGAAUAUUGCACAAUGGGGGAAACCCGUAGAUGCAGCGACGCCGCGUGGAGGAAGAAGGUCUUCGGAUUGUAAACUCCUGUUGUUGAGGAAGAUAAUGACGGUACUCAACAAGGAAGUGACGGCUAACUACGUGCCAGCAGCCGCGGUAAAACGUAGGUCACAAGCGUUGUCCGGAAUUACUGGGUGUAAAGGGAGCGCAGGUGGGAAGACAAGUUGGAAGUGAAAUCCAUGGGCUCAACCCAUGAACUGCUUUCAAAACUGUUUUCUUGAGUAGUGCAGAGGUAGGCGGAAUUCCCGGUGUAGCGGUGGAAUGCGUAGAUAUCGGGGAGGAACACC
This 340-nucleotide ribosomal RNA is filed under the name uncultured Faecalibacterium sp. RNAcentral's name for it is "bacterial SSU rRNA". It matches the Rfam family "Bacterial small subunit ribosomal RNA", at positions 355 to 710 of the family's 1533-position model. Lineage: Bacteria; Bacillati; Bacillota; Clostridia; Eubacteriales; Oscillospiraceae. The record is from RNAcentral.